UGGGGAAUAUUGGACAAUGGGCGCAAGCCUGAUCCAGCCAUGCCGCGUGAGUGAUGAAGGCCCUAGGGUUGUAAAGCUCUUUCACCGGUGAAGAUAAUGACGGUAACCGGAGAAGAAGCCCCGGCUAACUUCGUGCCAGCAGCCGCGGUAAUACGAAGGGGGCUAGCGUUGUUCGGAUUUACUGGGCGUAAAGCGCACGUAGGCGGACUUUUAAGUCAGGGGUGAAAUCCCGGGGCUCAACCCCGGAACUGCCUUUGAUACUGGAAGUCUUGAGUAUGGUAGAGGUGAGUGGAAUUCCGAGUGUAGAGGUGAAAUUCGUAGAUAUUCGGAGAAACACCAGUGGCGAAGGCGGCUCACUGGACCAUUACUGACGCUGAGGUGCGAAAGCGUGGGGAGCAAACAGG
Molecule: ribosomal RNA, 404 nt
Filed under: Pseudomonas sp.
Lineage: Bacteria; Pseudomonadati; Pseudomonadota; Gammaproteobacteria; Pseudomonadales; Pseudomonadaceae
Also listed under: 1 other name
Description: partial 16S ribosomal RNA
Rfam family: Bacterial small subunit ribosomal RNA
Source: RNAcentral